AGAGUUUGAUCAUGGCUCAGGGCAAACGCUGGCGGCGUGCCUAAGACAUGCAAGUCGGACGGGCGCCUUCGGGCGCCAGUGGCGGACGGCUGAGUAACACGUGGGUGACCUGCCCUCUGGUGGGGGAUAACCCCUCGAAAGGGGGGCUAAGACCGCAUACGGUCGCCGGUUCAAGCCGGCGAGCAAAGCUCAUCCGAGCGCCAGGGGAGGGGCCCGCGGCCGAUUAGCUGGUUGGUGGGGUAACGGCCCACCAAGGCGACGAUCGGUAGCCGGUCUGAGAGGAUGAUCGGCCAGACUGGGACUGAGACACGGCCCAGACUCCUACGGGAGGCAGCAGUCAGGAAUCUUGGGCAAUGGGCGCAAGCCUGACCCAGCAACGCCGCGUGGGGGACGAAGCCCUUCGGGGUGUAAACCCCUUUUCCACGGGACGAGUGUGGACGGUACCGUGGGAAGAAGCCCCGGCUAACUACGUGCCAGCAGCCGCGGUAAGACGUAGGGGGCGAGCGUUGCCCGAAUUCACUGGGCGUAAAGUGCGCGUAGGCGGUUGGGCAAGUCGCGCGUGAAAUCUCCUGGCUUAACCGGGAGGGGCCGCGCGAGACUGCUCGGCUUGAGCGAGGCAGAGGGCAGUGGAAUUCCCGGUGGAGCGGUGAAAUGCGUAGAUAUCGGGAGGAACGCCAGUGGCGAAGGCGGCUGCCUGGGCCUCUGCUGACGCUGAGGCGCGAAAGCGUGGGGAGCGAUCCGGAUUAGAUACCCGGGUAGUCCACGCCGUAAACGAUGCGGACUACGCAUCCGGAGUAUCGACCCUCUGGGUGCCACAGCUAACGCGUCAAGUCCGCCGCCUGGGGACUACGGCCGCAAGGCUAAAACUCAAAGGAAUUGACGGGGGCCCGCACAAGCGGCGGAGCGUGUGGUUUAAUUCGAUGCAACGCGCAGAACCUUACCCGGGCUUGACAUGCCGGUGGUAGCGACCCGAAAGGGGAGCGACCCGCGAGGGAGCCGGCACAGGUGCUGCAUGGCUGUCGUCAGCUCGUGCCGUGAGGUGUUGGGUUAAGUCCCGCAACGAGCGCAACCCCCGCCGCUAGUUACCAGGUCUAGCGGGACUGCCGGCGAGAAGCCGGAGGAAGGAGGGGAUGACGUCAAGUCAGCAUGGCCCUGACGUCCGGGGCGACACACACGCUACAAUGGCCGGGACAAAGGGCAGCGAAGGGGCGACCCGGAGCCAAUCCCAGCAAACCCGGUCUCAGUUCGGAUUGCAGGCUGCAACUCGCCUGCAUGAAGGCGGAGUCGCUAGUAACCGCCGGUCAGCACACGGCGGUGAAUACGUUCCCGGGCCUUGUACACACCGCCCGUCACGUCAUGAAAGUCGGGAACGCCUGAAGCCGGUGGCCGAACCCGGAAGGGACGGAGCCGUCGAGGGCGGGCCUGGCGAUUGGGACGAAGUCGUAACAAGGUA
This 1453-nucleotide ribosomal RNA is filed under the name uncultured bacterium. Its description in RNAcentral is "bacterial SSU rRNA". It matches the Rfam family "Bacterial small subunit ribosomal RNA". The record is from RNAcentral.